UACGGAGGGUGCAACCGUUGCUCGGAAUUAUUGGGCGUAAAGCGCACGUAGGCGGUCCCUUAAGUCGGGUGUGAAAGCCCUCGGCUUAACCGAGGAAGUGCAUUCGAAACUGGGGGACUUGAAUACUGGAGAGGAUGGCGGAAUUCCCGGUGUAGAGGUGAAAUUCGUAGAUAUCGGGAGGAACACCAGCGGCGAAGGCGGCCAUCUGGACAGAUAUUGACGCUGAGGUGCGAAAGCGUGGGGAGCAAACAGG
RNAcentral lists this ribosomal RNA (253 nucleotides) under uncultured bacterium. RNAcentral describes it as "partial 16S ribosomal RNA". It matches the Rfam family "Bacterial small subunit ribosomal RNA", at positions 524 to 776 of the family's 1533-position model. The record is from RNAcentral.